UACGGGAGGCAGCAGUGGGGAAUAUUGGACAAUGGGCGAAAGCCUGAUCCAGCCAUGCCGCAUGAGUGAAGAAGGCCUUCGGGUUGUAAAGCUCUUUUAGUGAGAAAGAUAAUGACGGUACUCACAGAAGAAGUCCUGGCUAACUCCGUGCCAGCAGCCGCGGUAAUACGGAGAGGGCUAGCGUUAUUCGGAAUUAUUGGGCGUAAAGAGCGCGUAGGCUGAUUAGUAAGUUAAAAGUGAAAUCCCAAAGCUUAACUUUGGAAUUGCUUUUUAAAACUGCUAGUCUAGAGAUUGAAAGAGGAUAGAGGAAUUCCUAGUGUAGAGGUGAAAUUCGUAAAUAUUAGGAGGAACACCAGUGGCGAAGGCGUCUAUCUGGUUCAAAUCUGACGCUGAGGCGCGAAGGGCGUGGGGAGCGAAACAGGGAUUAGAUAC
RNAcentral lists this ribosomal RNA (432 nucleotides) under uncultured bacterium. Its description in RNAcentral is "bacterial SSU rRNA". It matches the Rfam family "Bacterial small subunit ribosomal RNA", at positions 340 to 785 of the family's 1533-position model. The record is from RNAcentral.